This 678-nucleotide ribosomal RNA is filed under the name uncultured bacterium. Its description in RNAcentral is "bacterial SSU rRNA". It matches the Rfam family "Bacterial small subunit ribosomal RNA", at positions 28 to 738 of the family's 1533-position model. The record is from RNAcentral.
AACGAACGCUGGCGGCAGGCCUAACACAUGCAAGUCGAACGCACGUCUUCGGGCGUGAGUGGCGCACGGGUGAGUAACGCGUGGGAACCUACCCCUGGUGCGGAAUAAUUCGGGGAAACCCGGACUAAUACCGCAUACGUCCCCAUCAUUGGUUUGGUGGGGAGAAAGAUUUAUCGCCGAGGGAUGGGCCCGCGUCGGAUUAGGUAGUUGGUGGGGUAAUGGCCUACCAAGCCUGCGAUCCGUAGCUGGUCUGAGAGGAUGAUCAGCCACACUGGGACUGAGACACGGCCCAGACUCCUACGGGAGGCAGCAGUGGGGAAUAUUGGACAAUGGGGGCAACCCUGAUCCAGCCAUGCCGCGUGAGUGAUGAAGGCCUUCGGGUUGUAAAGCUCUUUCACCCGUGACGAUGAUGACGGUAGCGGGAGAAGAAGCCCCGGCUAACUCCGUGCCAGCAGCCGCGGUAAUACGGAGGGGCAAGCGUUGUUCGGAAUUACUGGGCGUAAAGGGCGCGUAGGCGGCCUGUUGCGUCAGGUGUGAAAAUCCCCGGGCUCAACCUGGGAAUGGCACUUGAUACGGGCAGGCUGGAAUCGGGAGAGGAUGGUGGAAUUCCCAGCGUAGAGGUGAAAUUCGUAGAUAUUGGGAAGAACACCGAUGGCGAAGGCAACCAUCUGGACCGGU